AUUAAACCAGACAUUUCUGGGCAGCGAACAAGCGGCAUUGGCUGAUUAGAAACACUCAGUCCUGUCUACGUAUGUUUGAGAAGAAAUCUCCUGUCUUUCUGCUCAGAAGCAAAAUGAAGACAUCACGUUCUAAGUGCUUUUUCAACUGAACUUCGAACUAAAGAGUCUCAAUUUCUGCAGAUCUGUGGCCCAAGCCAUUUACUAUGGCACGUAUUACAGUUGCUCCUGUCAUUCUGAUGGUAACUUUUUUCCAGCAUAAGAUACUAUUUUCCACUAGCCUGGAAAGUGGACAACCAGAUGUAGUGGAUGGUCUUGGAGCACAUAAUGUUCUGUGGAUUACCAAGCAUGGGUCAAGAGUUAUCUUAUCCUGGAACAAUAACCUGACAAAAGAAGAAACUAAGAAGUAUACUGUGAAGUAUAUUUUGAGUUAUAAAUUCUUCAAUACAACUCAUGAAAAGAAAGUAAGUCGUUCAAUGGUUACAUGUAGUUUAAAGUGAAAUCAGAUAUUGCUUCAUUCAGUAGAUGAAUUUGCAUAAUUUCCCUUUCAAUACUUAGUACCAUCUGCCAUCAUGCAAUUCCUUCUUCCUCUUCUUAGGAAAGACUGCGCGAAAAGAAAAAGGUAAUACCUCUUGAGUUACAUUCUGGUUUUAAUGCUAAAGUUAAAACACAACUUUUCGCAAAAGAAACAGAAGAUGUAAUUAAGGAGAGUGACUGGAC
RNAcentral lists this long non-coding RNA (717 nucleotides) under Calidris pugnax (ruff). RNAcentral's name for it is "lncRNA (ENSCPUG00000006995.1)". The record is from RNAcentral. Lineage: Eukaryota; Metazoa; Chordata; Aves; Charadriiformes; Scolopacidae.